UACGUAGGCAGCGAGCGUUGUUCGGAGUUACUGGGCGUAAAGAGUGCGUAGGCGGUUUUCUAAGUUUGGUGUGAAAUCUCCCGGCUCAACUGGGAGGGUGCGCCGAAGACUGGAAGGCUUGAGUAUGGGAGAGGUAAGCGGAAUUCCUGGUGUAGCGGUGAAAUGCGUAGAUAUCAGGAAGAACACCUAUGGCGAAGGCAGCACUCUGGGACGGUACUGACGCUGAGACGCGAAAGCGUGGGGAGCGAACAGG
RNAcentral lists this ribosomal RNA (253 nucleotides) under uncultured bacterium. Its description in RNAcentral is "partial 16S ribosomal RNA". It matches the Rfam family "Bacterial small subunit ribosomal RNA", at positions 524 to 776 of the family's 1533-position model. The record is from RNAcentral.